Molecule: unclassified non-coding RNA, 329 nt
Filed under: soil metagenome
Description: partial contains 5.8S ribosomal RNA, internal transcribed spacer 2, and large subunit ribosomal RNA
Rfam family: 5.8S ribosomal RNA (bases 1-120)
Source: RNAcentral
GAUGAAGAACGCAGCGAAAUGCGAUAAUUAAUGUGAAUUGCAGAAUUCCGUGAAUCAUCGAGUUUUUGAACGCACAUUGCGCCCCUUGGUAUUCCGAGGGGCAUGCCUGUUCGAGCGUCAUUAUAACCCCUCAAGCUCAGCUUGGUGUUGGGGCCUGCUGCACUGGCAGCCCUUAAAAUCAGUGGCGGCGCCAUCUGGCUCUAAGCGUAGUAAUUCUUCUCGCUAUGGAGUCCUGGUGGAUGCUUGCCAUCAACCCCCAAUUUUUCUAUGGUUGACCUCGGAUCAGGUAGGGAUACCCGCUGAACUUAAGCAUAUCAAUAAGCGGAGGA